UUAGACAGUUCUUUCUUCUUACACACUCUAGUAUUUUCAGAGCAGAAGUGACAGCAAUGUCAACUCUUUGGACAUCUGCUCCAAGUCUCAUUCUGGCAAGGGCAGAACUAUAAAAGACUUUGUCUGUCUGCCUGACAAUUUCAUCUCUCAGAAGGUAGAGGAACUGGUGAGGAAAAUGGCUGCUCUCAAGUGAAUUCUGAUCAGUAAAAAAGGAACUGGUUGGAAAUGUGGAAAUACUGAGAAUCUCAGGAGAGAUGUUUUCAUUAUCUUCGCCCCCUCACAGAACUCCUACAGCUCUUUAUUUAGAUCUUUUCUUACUUCUCCUUAUAAUAUUGUCACUUAUAGACUUGUGUCUCUAAGAUUGUCCCUUGAGGACUGGGACCACAUCACAUCAUCUUUGUGUCUGCCAAUGCUUGGGGCAGUUAUCUUUUAAACAACAACAAAAAAAAUCGAUCAAAUGUGUUUAGUUGGAAUAUGAGCAUAGCGACUUGCAUAAUUUCAGGAUAAUGUGACAACAUUUUUUAAGAAUUUUUUUUCUUGAUCAUAAAAUGUUUUCAUUGUUGAAAACUGGAAAAAUUAUUCAGGGAAGUAUAAAUGAGAAAAUACAACCUUUCUAUAAUCCUCUCACUUGAUAAGCAUUUUGAAGUACUUUCUCCUUGUUAUUUAUUUUUGAGACAUUCUAUCUCUCUUGUCACCUAGGCUACAGUGUAGUGGCAUGAACACAGCAGCCACUGCAACCUCAAACUCCUGGGCUCAAGCAAUCCUGUCUGAGCCUCCCAAGUGGCUAGGACUACAAGUGUGUGCCACCACGCCAGGCUAAUUUUUAAAAUUUUUUUGUAGAGGUGAGUCUUGCUACAUUGCCCAGGCUUGUCUCACUCAAUCCUCUGGCCUUGGUUUCCCAGUGUUGAGAUUACAGGCAUAAGCCACUGUGCCCAGCCUCUCCUUGGGUUUUAUACUUAUUUCAUACUUUUGAUCAUACUGUAUCUACAGUUGUUCCUAACACUUUUUAUUCACGUUAUAUCCUAAGCAUUUUCCAUGUCAUUAUCUUCAUUUUAAAAUGACUUCAUAUUAUCUUGCAUGUCUUUAGCAUAACCACUGUCAUUUAAAAAAUAAAGCAACAUAGGGAUUUACACUGGCUACAAGUUCUAAGAAUUGUGGUAUGUCUGAGAAGUCAAAAAGGAAACCAUUUCAUCUGUAAUAGUAAGAUCCGGCAGGGCAGGGGAGACAGGUGAAGCCCCAAGUUCUCCCUCCGGUUUUGGGUUUUAUCCUGAGUCAACUGUGGUACAUCUGGAAGGGGAGUUGAUGAUGUGGAGUGACCAGGGCUGACGACGAAGAGUUAAAGCUGGAAGGAAUGCUCAACCCACAGAAGAGCAGAAACAUGGAGUCACGUUUCCACACUUGAAGUAUGACUGACUGACUCUGUGGCAUCCUGGUUGGCAGCACUAGGGCCAGUAACUGGGAAUUUCAAAGUCACAAUUUGGACUCCUCUGCAAAUAAGUUUGAGAGCUGUUCCCUAAAGACACCUGAUGCCUUGUGAGGCAGGCAGUACCUGGUCCCCCAAGGUGUUCAAGUAGGGCAAGUGGCUUCAAGGAUACUAGAGGAUAGGCAAUCCCUGCAGUCUGGUUUAUGGUCUGGGUCUUGUGUAAGCACUGGAAUAGCCUAAAUCAAAUCUUAAGUCUCUCAGAGUCGCAUUAAAAAAUCGUAUUAUUUAAUUCAAAGCCACGUUUUCAAUUCUGAGCAGCCCAGAGACCUGCCAUCACUUGCUCGUGCCGAGUCACGUGGUGUGGCAAGGCGUGUGGUUUCCUCCCUAGCCGCCCCCAGCUUCCCCGAACCUUCAAAGUCACAUUUCAGUCACUCCCCAUCUGACCAACAAAGCUCACAAUGAGGGCGCUGCCAGCACAGGUGACAGCCUGCGCUCCAGUCUGAGGAGGAACCCCAAAUUCAAGACCCCUGUGACCCAGCCUGUGUGCCCCGAGAGGCUAAACCUCAGCUCAGGGGCUUCCCGAUGUCGGCCGCCGCGGGUCUGGGUUUCCGGCCUGCAGAGCUCGCGUCUGACGGCUGAGAAACAAAACGCCCUCCCUCUAGCGGCUCAAGCGCACACACUCUCUUGCCCUCCGCAGCCCCCGAGCGAGUCACCGGAGACUCUCUGGAGCCAUUUCGCGAGGCUGGAAUUCCUUCGCCCGGCGGAGCUCGGCGCGCACCCCUCAGCUGUGCCGAGGACCCUGCACCCGGGGCGCCCCGCGGCCACGUGACCGCCAUCUGGCUCUCGGCCUGGACUGAGGGGGCUGAGCUCAUCGCGUUGCUAUUCGAGGGGCAGAGACUGCCUGGCCUUCCUCAAACCCUGAGCUCCCGGCUCUCCUCCCUCCCCCACCUACUUGACAUCUCAGGCUUUUUGUGGAAGCGGCAGGGCGGUUGAGAGGUCGGUGACCUUUGCCCCAGUGGCGCUGGCUCUUUUCCUUUUUGGCUACCCUAAUGGAAUGAGGAUAUAAUCAGUCAUAUCUUAACAUUCACUGAGCCCCGGCUCAGGCUGGGAGGCACUGCCUUUUUCCUAGUGAAUUUUAAAUCAGUAUUUGUGGGAUUUAAGCUCCAGCGGACAAACCUAGAGCCACUGGCCAUGAAAGGUGUGGCAGUGAGGUGAAAAACGGGGCUUCCCCCUCCACUCCCUGGCUUUCCUCAUCCCAGCCCAAGGCGGGGGGGCGGGGGCGGAAUACGUAGACCACAGAGCAUUAGCCACACCCUCUUUCCUCCAACCCCAGAAUUCCACGUCAGUCUCAGAGCUUUCAGCUAGGUGGGGUUUAUCCCCAAAGGUGCCACAACCCCUCUAGUUGUAUGGGAGCGGUAACUGUGAACCACCAUCGCUGGCUCGAUCCUCCCUUUUCCGUGGAUUGGUGCUCCUGAGUGUGUUUACCAGUUUCAGUACGUAACACAGCCAGACGGAGGGCCGCGGGCUUCAGCGGCGAGAAGCUACAAAAAUAAGAGACACAUGAUACUAAUUUGCCACCUACUGUUCCAGUGCUGCCUAGUGACAGAUGACUCAUCUGCUGGGCCAGAGGGCUGAUCAUCGAUGCGGGCUGUAGUGACAUGGUGUGCUCCAUUGAGGGAGUUAACACGGCACCCUGGGAAGUUGGAGACAAGAGCAAAAUUAGACAAACUGAGGCAAGAGUCAAGAUCCUGUAAUUACCUUUUGCAAAGGAAAUACCUUAGUUUGUUUAAGAAUGUGAAGCAAAAACAAGCUCCCUCAAUCUUGCAAAUGGCAUCAUAAACAGUUUCCUAAAAAUCUUCUAAA
This is a non-coding RNA of Macaca mulatta (Rhesus monkey), 3286 nucleotides long. The record is from RefSeq and is a predicted model, not a curated record. NCBI's taxonomy places the organism in Eukaryota, Metazoa, Chordata, Mammalia, Primates, Cercopithecidae.